CCAAUAGCGUAUAUUAAAGUUGUUGCAGUUAAAAAGCUCGUAGUUGAAUUUCGGGAUCAGUGGGUCGGUCGUGCCACUGGUAUGCACUGGCCCUACUGGUUCCUCCUUCUUGAAGAACUGUAAUGCCAUUAAUUUGGUGUUGCAGGGAAACAAGACUGUUACUUUGAAAAAAUUAGAGUGUUUAAAGCAGGCAAUCGCUUGAAUACAUUAGCAUGGAAUAAUGAAAUAGGACGAUCGAUCCUAUUUUGUUGGUUUCUAGGAUUGACGUAAUGAUUAAUAGGGAUAGUUGGGGGCAUUAGUAUUCAAUUGUCAGAGGUGAAAUUCUUGGAUUUAUUGAAGACUAACUACUGCGAAAGCAUUUGCCAAGGAUGUUUUCAUUAAUCAAGAACGAAAGUUAGGGGAUCGAAGACGAUCAGAUACCGUCGUAGUCUUAACCAUAAACUAUGCCGACUAGGGAUCGGAUGAUGUUAAUUUUUUUAAUGACUCAUUCGGCGCCUUACG
RNAcentral lists this ribosomal RNA (501 nucleotides) under uncultured Glomeromycotina. RNAcentral's name for it is "partial small subunit ribosomal RNA". It matches the Rfam family "Eukaryotic small subunit ribosomal RNA", at positions 591 to 1092 of the family's 1831-position model. The record is from RNAcentral. Lineage: Eukaryota; Fungi; Glomeromycota.